Cylas formicarius (sweet potato weevil) is the source of this 1667-nucleotide long non-coding RNA. RefSeq lists it as uncharacterized. NCBI's taxonomy places the organism in Eukaryota, Metazoa, Arthropoda, Insecta, Coleoptera, Brentidae. The transcript is spliced from 6 exons. The record is from RefSeq and is a predicted model, not a curated record.
CUGUUUGCUUACAAUCCGACCCUGCUUCGUGUACAAAUGCAAUGCCAUUUCGGCAGGGCUAUAGGCUACGAAACCUUUCGAACUCGAAAAGGCGCUACUAAUUUUGAAUAGGUACUUAAUAUUGGGUAAAAGUAAUAGAUAAGAUUGUUUUACAUUAAAUAUUUGACAGAUCGAUGUAACUCGUCAAGCGGAAUCCGAGAAGAAAAAUGACGGAUGUGCUGUUUGCUGAUAGUCCAGAACGGCUUCGUGUACAAAUGCAUGGCGGGGAGACCAGAAAGUUUUCGAAACUGCGUGAGUGGAAGUCUGCGUUGGACAAAUUUUGAAAAUAUCUGAAGGUUUAACGAAUUUUGGAGAAUUCGACAGAGCUACAGACUACGAAACCUUUCGAAACGAACACACGUGUCCUGUUGAACUUGAAAAAAGACGAAAUUAUUUUUAAAAAGAUCAUGGUAACUCGUGAAGCAACAUCUCAGAAUUGAAUCGGGGAACGAGGAAUCAAAAAAAGGUUAACAAUUUGGAUCAUUUUGGAAGAUACAUACGCCGCGCUUUUCAAAGCGGACAGACGUGCCCUUGUCCAACUGAAACGAACACACGUGUCCUGUUGAACUUGAAAAAAGACGAAAUUAUUUUAAAAAGGUAUAUUGUUGCUAAAUAAUAGAUUUUUUUUUAAUUAAAAUAUUUGACAGAUCAUGGUAACUCGUGAAGCAACAUCUCAGAAUUGAAUCGGGGAGUUGUGUAUUUGCUGGCAAUCCGGGCCUGCUUGGAUCAUUUUGGAAGAUACAUACGCCUGCGCUUUUCAAAGCGGACAGACGUGCCCGUGUCCCACUUGACAAAGGCGGAAUUAUUUUAGGAAAGACCAUGGCAACUAGUAAAGCAGAAUCCGAGAAUUCAAUCGGCGGCUGUAUGUUGACUGACAAGAAUAUAAUUGCUGUUAAUCCGGCCCUGCUUCUUGUACAAAUGCAUAGUGGGGAGACAUGAACAUUUUUCGAAAUUGCGGCCCUAUCCUCUUGGGAUUCUACGUUGGACAAAUUCUGAAAACGACCCAGAAAUAUAAUUGGAGGUUCAAACCCGUGCGAGGUGAGGUUUGAUAUAUGAAACAGACCAGUCAUGGGGACACGAGAUAUGGAAAGUUUCAGCGUAGUCGUCGCCACAUUGCUGCCAACACUGCAUAUAUAAGGAAUCACGAACCAUUCAGGAAUAUUGAGACUUAGACCAGUAUCUUUUUAAGUAGGCAUGUGGGGUAAAGAAGACGCAGAAGCUUCAGUCGGGUACCAUCGGUAACGUAGGCGAUUGAUAUAUUUCCACCACUACAUAUGUUGGAUUGGAAUUUCCCAUUUGAUGCUUUGACUGACUAAAUGAGGAAACUUGGAGAUAUUAUUGGUGGUGCCUGCCAGCUUCCAGUUCCGAGAAAAGAAAUCCAACACUUUUCGUCUUUAUUUCCCCUGUCCUUUGUGCGCAAUAAAAGUACAGUUUGUACCCGCGUGGGUACACAUUCGCAGAACUAUAUGUUUUUAAAAUAAAUGUUUUGGUCAAUAUUCACUAGGUGGGGUUACCUUAUUAAAGAAAAUCUUAUUCCAAGAGGGGACACUAGUUUACAUUCGAACCGCUAGAGGGUGCAGAUGGUCACGCGAACAAUAUGAUCAAGUCUCAUUGACGCCAUUGCUUUU